UACGUAGGGUGCGAGCGUUGUCCGGAAUUAUUGGGCGUAAAGAGCUUGUAGGCGGUUUGUCGCGUCUGCUGUGAAAAUCCGGGGCUCAACCCCGGACUUGCAGUGGGUACGGGCAGACUAGAGUGUGGUAGGGGAGACUGGAAUUCCUGGUGUAGCGGUGAAAUGCGCAGAUAUCAGGAGGAACACCGGUGGCGAAGGCGGGUCUCUGGGCCGAUACUGACGCUGAGGAGCGAAAGCGUGGGGAGCAAACAGG
Molecule: ribosomal RNA, 253 nt
Filed under: uncultured bacterium
Lineage: Bacteria
Description: partial 16S ribosomal RNA
Rfam family: Bacterial small subunit ribosomal RNA
Source: RNAcentral